AGGAGUCCUCCAGGUCAGGUCUGAGGACCUUCAGGUCAGGUCUGAAGACCUCCAGGUCAGGUCUACCGCAGGUCUGAGGACCUCCAGGUCAGGUCUGAAGACCUCCAGGUCAGGUCUGCCGCAGGUCUGAGGACCUCCAGGUCAGGUCUGAAGACCUCCAGGUCAGGUCUGAGGACCUCCAGGUCAGGUCUGAAGACCUCCAGGUCAGCUCUACCGCAGGUCUGAGGACCGUGAUCCUGGAUUUAUUUUCAAUUCAAACAUGAUGGAGUCCAGAAACCAACAAACAAACUCCUUUAAGAGAGAGAGAGGGUGAAGUUAGCAGCUGUUUCCAGGCUGUUUUCCAGGUUUCUGCCUGUUUUUAUAUUCUACAGAUUUAUUCUAAUUUGGGCUUUUAAUUUGAAAACAGGACGUGUCUUUUGGGGCUUUUACUUUGACAACUUCCUGCUGCAGGAAAUAACAUUACAGCAGUGGGGGUAAAAUGAUGUCAGUCUGUGGUGGUCACACGUGGAGCUCUCUGUCCGACCGUCCACACACACACACACACUCUCUGCACAUGUGUGUGUGUGUGUGUGUGUGUGUGUGUGACUGUAGGCCUUUACACUCAACAUGUGACUCCAGAUACAUUUCAACACAGUUAUGUAACUCUUAUCCUCUCUCUCUCUCUCUCUCUCUCUCUCUCUCUCUCUCUCUCUCUCUCUCUCUCUCACACACACACACACACACACACACACACACACACACACACAGAGUACAGUAAAUAUCCACGUACAGUGUGACAUGAUAUUGUCCGGUUACAUAAUUUGAGGAUUGACAAACUCAGCUCAGUCUGUAGAUUAAAUCAUCUGUUCUGUCGUCUCAAACAGCUGAUCUUUGUUAUUGUUGUACAUAUAAGAACAGAAACUGGUCUGUAGUCAGUCUGUAGUCAGUCUGUAGUCAGUCUGUAGUCAGUCUGUAGUAACAGUGUCAUGAUCACAGUAUUUUGGCCUCCUAUAAACAAACAUAGACUUUAACACAUGAGGGUCGACACUAUCAAACACAUCCUUUGGUUCAGUCUUAUAUCAAACCAUGUUGUACGGUAUCACAUCACAUCAAUCACUCCAUUUUUAUUUGUCUUUAUUUAUACAGCGCCAGUUCACAUCACACGUUCUCCUGAAACGUUUCUUAGAAAAGCUGAUCGAGUUUUUUUUCUCCGCUCACAAAGACCUGAUGGAGAGACUGGAUCAGACCCGUCCUGGAAGUUCAGACCCACUCUGAUCCAUCUCCAUCCACCAUGUCAUCGCUAAAGUCAGGACCAGGCCUUCAGAGCAGCAGUGAAGCGCGCACACACACACACACACUAAGGUAGGGUUAAUCUGGUGUGACCUGACACAGCAUCGAUCGACCACUCUUCAUCUUUCAGACGCUGCAGGAGGCUGCAGCUCCAAGCUCUUUUAAUUACAGAUGAAUGGGAUUAUGUGGUUUCAACUCCUUACACACACACACACACACACACACACACACACACACACACACACACACACACACACAGGUGAAGUCAAAGGCUGACUCACUGAGAUUAGAGUAAAACCAUUAUUCUGAGCUUUCAGUAAAUAUCAGAUAGCAGCUCGUCUUGACCUCUGUGGAAGUUUCUGUCUCGUCUCACUGGUCCCUAAACGUGUCUGAGUCUCCUGAAGAUAAACUCUAACAGCAAAAUUAAACCCUCCUUCAUUUAGGAGCCCUGCAGAACUCCAGGGUUUGGGUUUCAUUCAGCUUCUUCCAUCUGCUAAUACUCUGUUGCUUUGGCUGUUUCAGAGGCUUCUGCGUCAAGGGGAAAUGCUGAGGUUGCUCUUUAUGUCUCUGCCCGGGCGGCCUUUGUUUAAUUCUACACCAGUGCGAUGUUCAGCCGUCAGCCCGCUGAACAAUGUUUAACCCGACUGGAGAAUGAGACUGUAGAGGCGUGACCCAUUUCCUGUCAGCAGCUUCUCUGCCAACUGUGUCACAGCCCAGACAGUCAGCAGUAACAGAGCAGCAGUCCUCUAACUAACCUGACACUAACUUUACAACUAAAGAGGAUUUUAGAGACGUUAAUUAUCACUGUGAGAGUGAACACAGGGUCCUCUAAACUGACACUAACUUUACAACUAAAGAGGAUUUUAGAGACGUUAGUUAUCACUGUGAUAAAAGUUUAAUCAAACUAAACGAUGACAUUUUUAUCAUUCUGUACCAUGACGUUUUUUACUUACUAUCCUAUAACAUUUUUUAACAUCCUAUACACGGACAUUUUUGUCAUACUCAAAAGUGA
RNAcentral lists this long non-coding RNA (2281 nucleotides) under Xyrichtys novacula (pearly razorfish). Lineage: Eukaryota; Metazoa; Chordata; Actinopteri; Labriformes; Labridae. The record is from RNAcentral.